GAUGAACGCUGGCGGCGUGCCUAAUACAUGCAAGUCGAGCGAACAGAUGAGGAGCUUGCUCCUCUGACGUUAGCGGCGGACGGGUGAGUAACACGUGGAUAACCUACCUAUAAGACUGGGAUAACUUCGGGAAACCGGAGCUAAUACCGGAUAAUAUAUUGAACUGCAUGGUUCAAUAGUGAAAGACGGUUUUGCUGUCACUUAUAGAUGGAUCCGCGCCGCAUUAGCUAGUUGGUAAGGUAACGGCUUACCAAGGCAACGAUGCGUAGCCGACCUGAAAGGGUGAUCGGCCACACUGGAACUGAGACACGGUCCAGACUCCUACGGUAGGCAGCAGUAGGGAAUCUUCCGCAAUGGGCGAAAGCCUGACGGAGCAACGCCGCGUGAGUGAUGAAGGUCUUCGGAUCGUAAAACUCUGUUAUUAGGGAAGAACAAAUGUGUAAGUAACUAUGCACGUCUUGACGGUACCUAAUCAGAAAGCCACGGCUAACUACGUG
RNAcentral lists this ribosomal RNA (497 nucleotides) under uncultured bacterium. RNAcentral's name for it is "partial 16S ribosomal RNA". It matches the Rfam family "Bacterial small subunit ribosomal RNA", at positions 28 to 507 of the family's 1533-position model. The record is from RNAcentral.